Mus musculus (house mouse) is the source of this 5731-nucleotide RNA transcript. It is a transcript of the gene named polymerase (DNA directed), alpha 1, with no coding region annotated. The transcript is spliced from 38 exons. NCBI's taxonomy places the organism in Eukaryota, Metazoa, Chordata, Mammalia, Rodentia, Muridae. The record is from RefSeq and is marked validated.
UAGGAGGUUUCUUUUCAGCUCCCGACCGCCUCCUUCUCCAGGUCUCCCCGGUCCUCGCCGAGGUUCCCGCUUUUCGCUCAGGGGUCAUCACAGGGCGCCAAAUGCACUCCCGCGGGAAGGCCGGGGGCGGGGCGCGGCUCAGCGCCGCACGUCAGUGGCCUUCCGGGCGGAAGUCCGCAGUCUUCCAGGCCGCUGAUUGGCUUUCGUACUGGCGCCUAUCUUGGCCUCCGCGCCAGUUUCAGGCUGGUUGGCGCGGAAUAGAGAGACUAUCGGACCAUGGCGCCCAUGCACGAAGAGGACUGUAAACUGGAGGCAAGCGCUGUGUCAGAUUCAGGGAGUUUUGCAGCUUCCCGAGCUCGGCGAGAAAAGAAAUCAAAGAAAGGACGUCAAGAAGCUUUAGAGAGACUGAAAAAGGCUAAAGCUGGGGAGAAGUAUAAAUACGAAGUUGAGGACCUCACAAGUGUUUAUGAAGAAGUUGAUGAAGAGCAGUAUUCGAAACUGGUUCAGGCCCGUCAGGAUGAUGACUGGAUUGUGGAUGACGAUGGGAUAGGCUAUGUGGAAGAUGGCAGAGAGAUUUUUGAUGAUGACCUUGAGGAUGAUGCACUUGACACCUGUGGAAAAGGAAGUGAUGGCAAAGCACACAGAAAGGACAGGAAGGAUGUAAAGAAACCUUCAGUGACAAAACCAAACAAUAUCAAGGCAAUGUUCAUUGCUAGUGCCGGGAAGAAAACUACAGAUAAAGCAGUAGACUUGUCCAAGGAUGAUCUGCUAGGUGACAUUCUACAGGAUCUAAACACUGAGACAGCUCAAAUAACUCCACCACCUGUAUUGAUACCAAAGAAAAAAAGAUCUACUGGGGCUUUGCUCAACCCUUUUUCAGUGCACACCCCUAAGGCAAUUCCUUCAGGAAAACCUGCUUCCCCUGUCCUCAGGAAUGAGCCUCUGUUAACUCCCAUUCCUCUUAAACGUGCUGAACUUGCUGGAGAGCUGGCUCAGCCAGAAUGUCCAGAAGAUGAGCAGGAGCUAGGGGUAAUGGAGUUUGAAGACGGUGACUUUGAUGAGUCCAUGGACACAGAGAAGGUAGAUGAGAAGCCUGUGACUGCUAAGACUUGGGACCAAGAGACUGAGCCAGUAGAAAGGGUGGAACAUGAGGCAGAUCCUGAGAGGGGAACCACAUCUUACUUAGAAAAUUUUCUGCCAGAUGUCUCUUGUUGGGACAUUGAUCAGGAUGAUGAAAGCAUACCUCAGGAAGUUCAAGUGGAUUCCAGUAAUCUCCCAUUGGUAAAAGGGGCAGAUGAUGAACAAGUGUUUCAGUUUUAUUGGCUGGAUGCUUAUGAAGAUCCAUACAACCAACCAGGUGUGGUUUUUCUGUUUGGCAAAGUGUGGAUUGAAUCAGUCAAAACCCAUGUGAGCUGUUGUGUUAUGGUGAAAAAUAUUGAGCGAACACUCUACUUCCUUCCCCGUGAAAUGAAAUUUGACCUAAACACAGGGAAAGAAACAGCAAUUCCAGUUACAAUGAAGGAUGUUUAUGAAGAAUUUGAUUCAAAAAUUUCAGCAAAAUAUAAAAUAAUGAAGUUCAAGUCCAAGAUAGUGGAAAAGAACUAUGCUUUUGAGAUACCUGAUGUUCCAGAAAAAUCUGAGUACCUGGAAGUUAGAUACUCGGCAGAAGUGCCACAGCUUCCACAGAAUUUAAAAGGAGAAACAUUUUCUCAUGUGUUUGGAACUAACACGUCUAGCUUGGAACUGUUCUUGAUGAAUAGGAAGAUCAAAGGACCUUGUUGGCUUGAAGUAAAAAAUCCACAACUCUUGAAUCAGCCAAUCAGUUGGUGUAAAUUUGAGGUAAUGGCUUUGAAACCAGACCUGGUGAAUGUAAUUAAGGAUGUCAGUCCUCCUCCACUUGUGGUGAUGUCUUUCAGCAUGAAGACAAUGCAGAAUGUACAGAACCAUCAACAUGAGAUUAUUGCUAUGGCGGCUUUGGUUCAUCACAGUUUUGCAUUAGAUAAAGCACCUCCAGAGCCUCCCUUUCAGACACAUUUCUGUGUUGUGUCUAAACCAAAGGACUGUAUUUUCCCAUGUGAUUUCAAAGAAGUGAUUUCGAAAAAGAAUAUGAAGGUUGAGAUCGCUGCAACAGAAAGAACCUUGAUAGGAUUUUUCCUUGCAAAAGUUCACAAAAUUGACCCUGACAUUCUUGUGGGUCAUAAUAUUUGUAGUUUUGAACUGGAAGUGCUGCUGCAAAGAAUUAAUGAGUGCAAGGUUCCUUACUGGUCCAAGAUAGGUCGGCUGAGGAGAUCCAACAUGCCAAAACUUGGGAGCCGGAGUGGAUUUGGUGAAAGAAAUGCUACCUGUGGCCGAAUGAUAUGUGAUGUGGAAAUUUCAGCAAAAGAAUUGAUUCAUUGUAAAAGCUACCAUUUGUCUGAACUUGUUCAGCAGAUUCUGAAAACUGAGAGGAUUGUAAUUCCAACAGAAAAUAUACGAAACAUGUAUAGUGAAUCUUCUUAUCUGUUGUACCUGUUGGAACAUAUCUGGAAAGAUGCCAGAUUCAUUUUGCAGAUCAUGUGUGAGCUAAAUGUUCUUCCAUUAGCAUUGCAGAUCACUAACAUCGCUGGGAACAUUAUGUCUAGGACACUGAUGGGUGGACGAUCUGAGCGAAAUGAGUUUUUGUUGCUUCAUGCAUUUUAUGAAAACAACUAUAUUGUGCCUGACAAGCAGAUUUUCAGAAAACCUCAGCAAAAACUGGGAGAUGAAGAUGAGGAAAUUGAUGGGGACACCAAUAAAUACAAGAAAGGGCGUAAGAAAGCAACUUACGCUGGAGGCUUGGUUUUGGACCCCAAAGUUGGUUUUUAUGACAAGUUCAUUUUGCUCCUGGAUUUCAACAGUUUAUAUCCUUCCAUCAUUCAGGAAUUUAACAUUUGUUUUACAACAGUGCAAAGAGUUACUUCAGAGGUGCAGAAAGCUACAGAGGAUGAGGAACAAGAACAGAUCCCUGAGUUGCCAGAUCCAAACUUAGAGAUGGGCAUUUUGCCCAGAGAGAUUCGGAAACUGGUAGAGCGGAGAAAACAAGUCAAACAGCUAAUGAAACAGCAAGAUUUAAAUCCAGACCUUGUUCUUCAGUAUGACAUCCGACAGAAGGCUUUGAAGCUCACAGCAAACAGUAUGUAUGGUUGCCUGGGAUUUUCGUACAGCAGAUUUUAUGCUAAACCACUGGCUGCCUUGGUGACAUACAAAGGAAGGGAGAUUUUGAUGCAUACGAAAGACAUGGUACAGAAGAUGAAUCUUGAAGUUAUUUAUGGAGACACAGAUUCAAUUAUGAUAAAUACCAAUAGCACCAACCUGGAAGAAGUAUUUAAGUUGGGAAACAAGGUAAAAAGUGAAGUGAAUAAAUUGUACAAACUGCUUGAAAUAGACAUUGAUGCUGUUUUCAAGUCUCUGCUGUUGCUGAAGAAAAAGAAAUAUGCUGCUCUAGUUGUUGAACCAACAUCAGAUGGGAAUUACAUUACCAAGCAGGAGCUGAAAGGAUUAGAUAUAGUUAGAAGAGACUGGUGUGAUCUUGCCAAGGACACUGGAAACUUUGUCAUUGGCCAGAUUCUUUCUGAUCAAAGCCGGGACACCAUUGUGGAAAACAUUCAGAAGAGGUUAAUAGAAAUUGGAGAAAAUGUGCUAAAUGGCAGUGUCCCAGUGAGCCAGUUUGAAAUUAACAAGACAGGGUCUCACUGUGCAGUUCUGGCUUGUCUGGAACUUUCUGGGUAAACCAGAUUUCUUUGCCUCUGCCUUCUUAGUGCUGAGAUUAAAAGUAUGUUGCACCAAGCCCAGCAAAGGGGACUGAACUCUGCACAGGCCAGGAAUCAAUUUCAGCAUUGACAAAGGAUCCCCAGGAUUACCCUGAUAGAAAAAGCUUACCUCAUGUACAUGUUGCACUGUGGAUAAAUUCUCAAGGAGGCAGGAAGGUGAAAGCUGGUGAUACGGUGUCCUAUGUUAUUUGUCAGGAUGGGUCAAACCUCACUGCAACUCAGAGGGCCUAUGCCCCAGAACAAUUGCAGAAACUUGACAAUUUAGCCAUCGACACCCAAUACUACUUGGCCCAGCAGAUCCACCCUGUUGUGGCUCGGAUCUGUGAGCCAAUAGAUGGAAUUGAUGCUGUACUCAUUGCAUUAUGGCUAGGACUUGACUCCACUCAAUUUAGAGUUCAUCAGUAUCACAAAGAUGAAGAGAAUGAUGCCCUCCUUGGUGGUCCAGCACAGCUAACUGAUGAAGAGAAAUACAAGGAUUGUGAAAAAUUCAAAUGCCUUUGUCCUUCAUGUGGAACUGAAAAUAUUUAUGAUAAUGUCUUUGAAGGCUCGGGACUGGAUAUGGAACCCAGUUUGUAUCGUUGCAGUAAUGUUGAUUGUAAGGUUUCACCGUUGACCUUCAUGGUACAGCUGAGCAACAAAUUGAUCAUGGACAUUAGACGGUGCAUUAAAAAGUACUAUGAUGGCUGGUUGAUAUGUGAAGAGCCAACUUGUUGCAGUCGCCUUCGACGUCUUCCCCUUCAUUUCUCCCGAAAUGGGCCUCUGUGUCCAGUCUGCAUGAAAGCUGUGCUUAGACCAGAGUAUUCUGACAAGUCCUUGUACACCCAGCUGUGCUUUUACCGGUACAUUUUUGAUGCGGACUGUGCACUGGAAAAACUUACUGAACAUGAGAAAGAUAAAUUGAAGAAGCAGUUUUUCCCUCUCCGAGUUCUUCAGGACUACAGAAAAGUCAAGAACAUAGCAGAGCAGUUCUUGUCCUGGAGUGGCUACUCUGAAGUGAACCUCAGCAAGCUCUUCGCCAAUUACGCUGGGAAGUCCUGAGAGAGCCGGGAAGGAUGCAAGGAGGCCAGCUGCCCAAUCUGAGCUGCUGAGGCCUCCGCCUGCCCUAACUGCUGCACCACUAUCUUGCUUUUCUUUUGAGGACUGCAUACUGUGUUGAUGUUGAUGUAGAUGUGGACCAGGGUGGGAGUAUCAAAAUACUUAACUUACCAAAUAGUUUUUAUAGCACUAUGUACACCAAACCCUUUCCUAAGUAUCUAAAGACCUAUAUCUUACUGCAGGGCAGAAAUUGCUACUUUAAUUGAGAAUACCUAAGAUGUAAGUGACCUUCAGUUUACCCUGGGGCUUUAUCAGAGACACCCCUAAAAAGAGUUUUAUGGGGUCUAAUGGAAGUUCUAACAUUUUGCUUUUUCACAUGUCAGUUAAACCCAGUCUGUGUCUAAAUACUUGUUCAGCUACUGGCUACAAGCAUGGCUGAUUUCAGUGCUGUCUUUCAUAUAAGUGGUGCAGGUGGUAGGGAGGUGGUGGUGGAGGGAUUUAGAAAGUUUGCACUUACUAAAUACAAAAAGCAAGUUUGCUUAUUGAAUUGUUCAAAGUUCAACAUUCACCAGAUGUUUCACUCACAUUCCUUCUAUUUUCCCUUUACACAGAAUGUUCAAAGUGUAGGUUUAUACAGUAGGAAAGCACAUUUUAAAUACUUUGUCCUAACAUUUCACAAAAUUUAUGGUGAGGUUGUAGUAAGGAUCACUGUUCCAUUCAGAAGAAUGGGACACAGCUGACAGGAUCCAGUGCUUGCUAGAUUUCAUCAGUUCUUCAGAAUAGUGUCUCUUUGAAGUGAUAAACAAUAUUACAAUAUGGCAGCCUUAAAUACUUAUCUAUUUGUCUUUUUAUAAAGAAAAAUGUAUUGUGAUCUGUACCUAAGAAUAAAGUUUCCUAAAGGAAAACCA